This 301-nucleotide ribosomal RNA is filed under the name uncultured bacterium. RNAcentral describes it as "partial 16S ribosomal RNA". It matches the Rfam family "Bacterial small subunit ribosomal RNA", at positions 509 to 807 of the family's 1533-position model. The record is from RNAcentral.
CAGUAGCCGCGGUAAUACGUAGGGUGCAAGCGUUAAUCGGAAUUACUGGGCGUAAAGCGUGCGCAGGCGGUUAUAUAAGUCAGAUGUGAAAUCCCCGGGCUCAACCUGGGAACUGCAUUUGAGACUGUAGGGCUAGAGUGUGUCAGAGGGGGGUAGAAUUCCACGUGUAGCAGUGAAAUGCGUAGAUAUGUGGAGGAAUACCGAUGGCGAAGGCAGCCCCCUGGGAUAACACUGACGCUCAUGCACGAAAGCGUGGGGAGCAAACAGGAUUAGAUACCCGAGUAGUCCCUGUCUCUUAUAC